UUUUUUUCUUUUUUACUGUGCUAAAAUAUACAUAAUAUAAAAGCUACUAUUUUAAUCUUUUUUUUUUUCUUUUUUUUUGCCACACCAUGCAAUGGCUUGAUGUGAGAUCUCAGUCCCCAGACCAGGGAUUUCACUGCUGGGGCUGCAGCAGUGAAAGGACCAAGUCUUAACCACUCACUAGACCAACAAAGAACUCCCUAUUUUAACCUCUUUUUUUGUUUUGUUUUCCAUUUUUGGCUGCCCCACAGCAUAUGGAGGUCCCUGGCCAGAGAUCAGAUCUUAGCCACGGCUUCAGCGCUGGAUCCUUUUAAGCUACUGUGUCAGCCAGGGAUCAAACUUGCGUCCUGGUGCUGCAGAGAACAUAGCAUCAAAGUGGGAAGUCCUUAACCAUUUUUAAGUGUACAAUUCAGUGGCAAAAAGUAUGAUCUCAUUGCUGUGUAACUAUUACCACUCUCCAUCUCCAGAACUUUUUUAUCAUCUAGAACUCAAACAUUAGUGUUAUGCAUUAAACAUUAAUUCUCCUUUACUCCCUCCUCCCAGCCGUUGGUAACCACUAUUCUACUAUCUCUAUGAAUUUGAUUACUCCAGAUAUUUCAAAUAAAUAUGAGGUGUGGAAUCUUACAAUAUUUGUCCUUUUGUGUCUGGCUUAUUUCAUCCAUGUUUUAGCAUGUUUCAGAAUUUCAUUCCUUUUUAACAGCUGAAUAAUAUCCCAUUGUAUGGUGUAGCCCACAUUUUAUUUAUUCAUUCAUCUGUAAAUGGUUACUUCCAUCUUUGACUACAUAGAACUUUUUGCUGCUAUGAAUAUGGGUUUACAAAUGUCUGUUCAAGUACUUACUUUAAUUUUUUUAAUUUCUUUGGCUACCUGUGGCAUAUGGAGCUCCCAGGCCAGGGAUCAGGUCUGAGUCACUGCUGCAAACUAAGCCAUAGCUGCAGCAAUGCCAGAUCCUUAACCCACUGUGCUGGGCUGGGGAUUGAACCCAUGUCCCAGCUCUCCCAAGACGCUGCCGAUCCCACUGUGCCACAGUGGGAGCUCCAGUCCUUACUUUAAAUUCUUUUGGGUGUGUACUGAGAAGUAGAAUUGCUGUAUUAUGUAGUAAUUCUGCUUAAUUUUUUGAGGAACCACCAUACUGUUCUCCAUAGCAGCCAUGCCAUUUUAUAUUCCUAUAAGCAAUGCACAAGAUUCCAAUUUCUCCAGACCCAAGCCAAUAUGUGUCAUUUUCUGUUUGUGUGUGUGUGUGUGUUUUGUUUUUUUGCCUCGCCAGUGGCAUGUGGCAGUUCCCAGGUCAGAGAUCAAAUCUGCACACAACAGUGACCCAAGCCACUGCAGUGAUAACACUGAAUUCUUAACCUGCUGCACUACAAAGGAACUCCUAUGUUUCUUAUUUUUAAUGUUCUCAGUCAAUUAGAAUUUUAGAAAUCCCUACCGGUUAGGGGUUUUUUGUUUGUUUGUUUUAAUGGCCACCCCACAGCAGAUGGAAUUUCCUGGGCCAGGGAUUGAAUCUGAGCUGCAGCUGUGACCUACACUGCAGCCGUGGCAAUGCUGGAUCCUUUAACCCACUGUGCCAGGCCAGGGAUCAAACCUGUGCCUCUGUAGCAACCCAAGCUGCUGCGAUUGGAUUCUUAACCCACAGUGCUACAGCAAGAACUCCAGUUAGUACUAGUUUGAAUCUUCUAGCCUCAACUGUAUUCUUUGAUUAAAGGUAGUUAACAAAGGAGUUCAUUGUAGGAUGGACUUUCAAGGUCACCCUGUCUGUUGGUUUUCAUACCUCAUUCCCCAAAGCUCCUUCUCCAAUUCUCAGCCAAACUAUUUCUGACUCUGAUUUCAUUAGUUUUACAUCAUGCAUGUCUGAGUAAGAUUUCAUUUGAAAGGAGUUCCCGUCGUGGCUCAUGGUUAACGAACCCAACUAGCAUCCAUGAGGACUCCUGUUCCAUCCCUGGCCUCACUCAGUGGGUUAAGGAUCUGGCGUUGCCGUGAGCUGUGGUAUAGUUCACAGAUGUGGUUUGGAUCCUGCGUUGCUGUGGCUCUGGCAUAGGCUGGUGGCUACAGCUCCGAUUGGACCCCUAGCCUGCGACUCUCCAUAUGCUGCGAGUGUGGCCCUAAAAAGCAAGCAAAUACAUAUAUAUGUAUAUAUCUCCCAUUAACUUGACAAGGAGAGUGGUAAGGAAUCAGAGGAAUGAGGAAUGAGGCAUGCUCUGGUAAAUACCAUCACUUUAGUAGACAAGAAACCAAUGAUAACAAUGAAACUUCACCCCUUCUUGCCAAGGAGAUUAUGCAUGAGAAAUAGGUUAUGCUGGGAAAGUAUGGAGGUAGCUAUUUCUAAAGAAAAAAUAUCUUAAGUCAAAAUUUUAAAACAGUUAUGAAAUCAAGAAUAUUUCUUUGAAAUGUACUACAUUACUACUAUAGGAAAUACACAGUUGAAUAAGGUGGCAUUGGCCAUGUGUGUGAGAAGCUUACAGUAUGUAUCCCUUUUUUAAAAGAGAAUCUAUACUUAUAU
Molecule: long non-coding RNA, 2495 nt
Filed under: Sus scrofa (pig)
Lineage: Eukaryota; Metazoa; Chordata; Mammalia; Artiodactyla; Suidae
Description: lncRNA (ENSSSCG00030038000.1)
Source: RNAcentral